This 501-nucleotide ribosomal RNA is filed under the name uncultured bacterium. RNAcentral's name for it is "partial 16S ribosomal RNA". It matches the Rfam family "Bacterial small subunit ribosomal RNA", at positions 29 to 523 of the family's 1533-position model. The record is from RNAcentral.
AUUGAACGCUGGCGGCAUGCCUUACACAUGCAAGUCGAACGGCAGCACGGGUGCUUGCACCUGGUGGCGAGUGGCGAACGGGUGAGUAAUACAUCGGAACGUACCUUAUCGUGGGGGAUAACGCAGCGAAAGCUGUGCUAAUACCGCAUACGCCCUGAGGGGGAAAGCGGGGGAUCGAAAGACCUCGCGCGAUUAGAGCGGCCGAUGCCUGAUUAGCUUGUUGGUGGGGUAAAAGCCCACCAAGGCGACGAUCAGUAGCUGGUCUGAGAGGACGAUCAGCCACACUGGGACUGAGACACAGCCCAGACUCCGACGGGAGGCAGCAGUGGGGAAUUUUGGACAAUGGGGGCAACCCUGAUCCAGCAAUGCCGCGUGAGUGAAGAAGGCCUUCGGGUUGUAAAGCUCUUUUGUCAGGGGAGAAACAGCAGCUCUAACACAGUCUGCGAAUGACGGUACCUGAAGAAUAAGCACCGGCUAACUACGUGCCAGCCGCCGCGGUAA